CGCCAGACUCCUACGGGAGGCAGCAGUCGAGAAUCAUUCACAAUGGGGGAAACCCUGAUGGUGCGACGCCGCGUGUAGGAAGACGGUCCUCUGGAUUGUAAACUACUGUCCCCAGGGACGAAGAUGACGGUACCUGCAAAGGAAGCACCGGCUAACUCCGUGCCAGCAGCCGCGGUAAUACGGAGGGUGCGAGCGUUAAUCGGAAUUACUGGGCGUAAAGCGCUCGUAGGCGGUAUGUCAAGUCAAGGGUGAAAUCCCCGCGCUCAACGUGGGAACUGCCUUUGAAACUGGCAAACUGGAGUGUGUGAGAGGAUAGUGGAAUUCCAGGUGUAGGAGUGAAAUCCGUAGAUAUCUGGAGGAACAUCAGUGGCGAAGGCGACUAUCUGGCACAUAACUGACGCUGAGGAGCGAAAGCGUGGGUAGCAAACAGGAUUAGAUACCCGAGUA
RNAcentral lists this ribosomal RNA (447 nucleotides) under uncultured bacterium. RNAcentral describes it as "bacterial SSU rRNA". It matches the Rfam family "Bacterial small subunit ribosomal RNA", at positions 329 to 792 of the family's 1533-position model. The record is from RNAcentral.